RNAcentral lists this ribosomal RNA (480 nucleotides) under Acinetobacter sp. dP. RNAcentral describes it as "bacterial SSU rRNA". It matches the Rfam family "Bacterial small subunit ribosomal RNA", at positions 16 to 490 of the family's 1533-position model. The record is from RNAcentral. Lineage: Bacteria; Pseudomonadati; Pseudomonadota; Gammaproteobacteria; Moraxellales; Moraxellaceae.
AUCCUGGCUCAGAUUGAACGCUGGCGGCAGGCUUAACACAUGCAAGUCGAGCGGAGUGAUGGUGCUUGCACUAUCACUUAGCGGCGGACGGGUGAGUAAUGCUUAGGAAUCUGCCUAUUAGUGGGGGACAACAUUUCGAAAGGAAUGCUAAUACCGCAUACGUCCUACGGGAGAAAGCAGGGGAUCUUCGGACCUUGCGCUAAUAGAUGAGCCUAAGUCGGAUUAGCUAGUUGGUGGGGUAAAGGCCUACCAAGGCGACGAUCUGUAGCGGGUCUGAGAGGAUGAUCCGCCACACUGGGACUGAGACACGGCCCAGACUCCUACGGGAGGCAGCAGUGGGGAAUAUUGGACAAUGGGCGCAAGCCUGAUCCAGCCAUGCCGCGUGUGUGAAGAAGGCCUUAUGGUUGUAAAGCACUUUAAGCGAGGAGGAGGCUACUGAAGUUAAUACCUUCAGAUAGUGGACGUUACUCGCAGAAUAAG